UUAAUACUCACUCCAACCGAAAAUACUUGUGAUCAAAACAUAUAGAAAGGGAUGUAUCUAGAACUAAAAUAUAUCUAGAUACAUCCUCUUUUAUUCAUUUUGAUGAGAAGUAUUUCCAGAUGGAGGGAGUAGUAA
Non-coding RNA from Triticum aestivum (bread wheat), 135 nucleotides. The record is from Rfam. Lineage: Eukaryota; Viridiplantae; Streptophyta; Magnoliopsida; Poales; Poaceae.